UUGUAAGAUGUAAAAAUAUGGCAAUUUCUAAGUUAUUACCACUCGACCAGAGUAAUAACCACUUAAUAUCAAUGUAUCAUCAUUGUAGAAACAGGUUACAGUAAUAUUACACUGAAAUGUACACUGAAAAAAGUCUAACAUGCAGUCAUUCAUUCAAUCUAAUAAGUGCCAUUCAAAACAGAAUAAAAUCAUUGAUUUGAUUGUGAAACCCUUUCUUUUUGCAUUUUAAAAUACCACUUUUGAUUUGGAUGAAACUAAAUAUCUGUACAAAGGAUACAACGCAAAGUUUUUGAUUUCUCUCAAAACAUAUAUUUCUUUCCAUGUUGAACAGAUAAUAUCUUUAAUUUGAGUCAGUGAUUUGCACUUGAACACGCCCACCAGAAAUAGACCGGGACCCAUUUUUAUUCUGCAUGGCUGCUGGAAACAUCGUGUCACAUCUUUGAUUAAUUUCAUCUGAAAAUAAACAACCACAGAUCGCUCCAUCCAUUCCAUGGCUGAAGCAUACAUUUUCAUUUAAUCUGAACAGGAUGCUGAUGCUGACAUUAGGAGGGAGUGUAUACUUAAAUCUCUUAUUAUCUACCUUGGAGAACGUGUUGAGGACUUGAUAAAAGAAUACAUGAUAUCCCAGAAAGAUGAAGCUGAGGAAGAGCUGCAGAGUACCACCAUGGCACUCUUCGUCUUCAGGGACAACUCAAGCCUCCUACAUCAGCCUCGAGACAUCGGGAUAAUCAUUGAUGGUGUGGAAGUCCUGAAUGAGUUGCCUUCUGUGGCAGCUGGAGUGGCAAUGGUCUUUGGACUCUGUUAUGCUCUUAAUAUGGAAUAUCCACGAGGAUUCAGCUUCACCUUUGAGGCUCUUCAAAAGAUUAUGAUGGAGCUUGACUUUAACAAGAUGACCUCUAAGAUUCGCAAACUUAAUUGUGAACUUAACACUGCACAGUAGUGUGUUUGCAUGCAUGUGUGCAUGUGUAUGUGUGCUUGGUUAUUUUGCUUGGUUGGCCUGCAGUGGUAUUCUACAUUCAAAAGUUAUAAGAACACCCAUUUGAAAGGGAGAUUUAAGUUGAUUUCAUUGAUACAUGUGUACAUUUUUUUUUUUACAUUGUACAGGCACAGUGCACAUAUAAACAUUUUUGAGUACUUGCAAAUUGGUUUAAAAAGAGUUUUGGUUUUAUGCCAGUUUUAGACAGGUUGCAGGUUUUAUACCAGUUCUAAAAAGAUUGCAGGUUUUAUACUGGUUUUCAAAAGGUUGCAGGUUUUAUAAAACAAACAUUUCUCUAAUCAUUUCUGCCGUAGCACUAAAUCUUUAUAUUACUAAUCCUCUCUAUUGAUUAUAGUUAAAAUGGUUUGGAACAAUAAAUAAUUUUGAAAUAA
This is a long non-coding RNA of Oreochromis niloticus (Nile tilapia), 1368 nucleotides long. RefSeq lists it as uncharacterized. The record is from RefSeq and is a predicted model, not a curated record. The transcript is spliced from 4 exons. Lineage: Eukaryota; Metazoa; Chordata; Actinopteri; Cichliformes; Cichlidae.